ACCUUAUUUAGGUGUAGAGACCGUUUACAAAUAGGAAGGCGGCAUCCUUUUCAACAACCCACCUUGCUCUUCGCACACUCCUUUUCAACAACUUCCCACCUUUGCUCUUCCGACACUCCAACUCACAUACUCGAUUGGAAAUGGGGAGCAACCCUAUAAUCAGGAUACAACAGGCUACUGGAGUAAAAUUUAAGCUGGGAAAGAGAGUAUUUUGGCACUCAACUCUGGACGGAAAGAACGAGGAAGCAGAGAGGUAGUUGGGAGUCUCUAAUGUGACAGCUCAUGAAUGAAGCAUUAGAGUGAAAAUCUGGGAUUUUGCACUGUAGUUGCCCUCCUUAUCUGAUGAUGAAGCUGUGAUGAUAAAAGGUGUUUAGAGCUGGAUCGGGCAUUGGAAUGACCCGUAUCUUGGCGGGGCGACCCGGAAGGCAUCUUCAUGGUUGCAACCGAGGUAUGCAGCCAUGGCGGUUGCAUUGUCUCUGCUGAUCUUAUCACAGAUCUGAGCCUCAAAAUUGAGGGGUUUAUUUGGCCCUUUUCCCUUUUAAAAAUGGAUGGAGACCAAAAUUGUUAGAUUUUUUAUGUAUAUUAAAGGACCAUCAUAAACCUCCUCAAAGAUGACGGAUCAUUUUUCUCAAGAGAAGUGUAUGCUUUUUACGUACUGUAUGGACUAUUUGAUCAUUUUCUGGAAAACCUGCUAUAUUACCCUCCAUUUGAAUUGGAUUAGCCCAGAAAUGGAGAGAAUGAGGCAACAGAGUGUAUGGGAUUUUUUUUACAAGGGUGGUUGCCCGUCUCUGCUUUGCCUAUGAUUCUCCAACUUUUAAAACAAACCAACAGCCCUUAAAAUAGAAAAAGAGAAAGAGAGUUGAUAGCACUUCAGUUUUCUGGGUUUCUUUGCAUUUUUGCACCCUAAAUGCAUACUCAAAACCCAAUACAUACAACUAUACUGCAACAACUAUGCUACCUUCAGAUCUUAAAGAGGCAGUGAUGAUGAUGUUUCUUAUAUCUGGGCUAACUGAUUUGGCUUAGAGAUGACCCAAUCCGUAUCUUGGCGUGGCAAGUCAGUAUGGCCUGUGAUUGAGAGUUGAGACUCUUCCAUCUCACAUGCAAUUGGUGUUGCAGCCAUGGCGUGGUUGGCUUCUCUUUUGCCUUAUCAUAACAACAAAUCUGAGCCUCAAUUUGUUGAAGAAAAAUAUUGGGUGUGUUUGGUAUGAAGGAAAAUGUUUUCUGAAAAACACUUAUUUUGGUGUUUAGGAAUAAGCAGAACAUAUUGCCUAAAGAGCAUUUAAUGUGACGGAUGAAGAGGCUGUGAUGAUUAAAGGUGUCUAGGGUUGUGUUGGGCAUUGGAACGACCCGUAUCUUGGCAGGGCAACCCCGAAGGUCUGUUUGAUAGAGGUCUGCAGCCAUGGCGGUUGCUUUGUUUCUGUUGCCUGAUUUUAUUCUCAGAUCUGAGCCUCAAAAUUGAGCAAUUACUGCAUUUGUUACCCAGUUAAGUUUAACUGGAGUGUUGAAGAAAACUGUUGUGAAUUAAAAGUUUAGUUGUAAAUCUGGCUAUUUUUGAAUUUCUCCCUAAAUAGUAGUCCAACCUGUAUACACUAAGAACUAUUUUGAUCAUUUUCUCGAAAACCUGCUAUAUUAGUAUUGAGACGGCGAGAAUGAGGCAACAGAGAGUACGGGAUUUUUUACAAGGGUGGUUGCCCCUCUCUGCUUUGCCUAUGAUUAUCCUUUUUUAAACAAACCAACAGCCCUUAAAAAGAAAGAAGAAAGAGAGAGAGUACUAUACCACACUACAACUAUGCUACUUUCAGAUCUUAAAAGAGGCAGUGAUGAUGAUGAUUCUUUUCUAUUUCUGGGCUAACUAAUUCGGGCAUGGAGAUUACCUGACCCGUAUCUUGGCGUGGCAACCCGGCAUGGCCUGUGAAUGAGACUCUUCUCUCACACAUGCAACUGAUGUUCAAUGUUUUGCAGCCAUGGCAUGGUUGGCUUCCCUUUUGCCUUCCAUGACACAAAUCUGAGCCUCAAUUUGAAAAAAAGUUAUCGUUUUGCAUUAUCUUCUGGGGGAUGAGGCUGUGAUGAAAUGUCGAAAGGUGUCCAGAGUUGGUCCGGCAUUGGAGCAGCCCGUAUCCUGGCUGGGCGUCCGGGAGGCAUGGUUGCAACCAGGUCCGGAUGGUGGUUGCAUUUUCUACAUUGACUGAUUUUAUCACAGAUCUGAGCAUCAAACUUGAAGUAAAAGCAUGUUUGGCUUAGCUGAAUUAAGUAGCUUUUAAGCGCAUUUUUUAAGAGGAUGUUUGGAUUUUGGAUGGGCUUAAAAAAAAGCUUGUUUCGGUGUUUGGCUUUGUAGACUUUGUUGUGGUCUACAAAGAAACAGCUGGGCUACUGGUGCUCUGGUCUUAUUUCUACACCAUAAACAGAAACUGGAAUACUCAACUCAAGAACAGAAUGGGGCUGCAUAUGGAUGGAAAGUUUCUAAGGGUGUUGCCUUCCAUCAGCAUGCCUGUGAUAUCUCUGUAUUCUGCUACUGACAAAGCAGCACCCCUUCUUUCAUGCUUAGCUAGCGCUCUAAUGGUUAUUCACUAUCUGCCAUAUUUCUCACACUAUGUGCUUCUUCUUUCUUGGUCCAUAUCUUUUCUUUUUCACAAAUCUCAAUCACUAUGAGCAAUAUUGCUGUUUCUUAUCUGUAGGCUGUGAUGAUAAAGUUUCUUGACUUCAUUGGGUUUGGGUCUACUGGACUCAUAUCUGGCGGGGUAAACCAGGAUAUUGUAAGCAGAGUCUUUCCUUUCUAGCAUGCAAUCCUUGUUUGCAGCCAUUGCGGUGUCCCUUUCCUUCACCUGAAUUUAUGACAGAUCUGAGCCUGCUUAUGUACUCAUGAGUGUCACUUCUAGAUAGAUAUCUAAAAAUAGAUGGAAAUAACUGUUAGAUAUGCCUGGAGAAAGAGGACAAUGGUGAAAAAAAGUGAAAACUACUUUCCCUUUUGAUGAAAUAGGAAUUGUUAGAUUCUUAAUGCAGACUUACACGGGCUUUCAGUUAAAAGUUCUCUGGUUGGAUUAGCCCAGAAAAUGGCGAGAAUGAGGCAACAGAGAAUAUGGGAUUUCUUUCAAGGGUGGUUGCCCCUCUCUGCUUUGUCUAUGAUUCUUCCCCUUCUCAACUAACCAACAGCCCUUAAGAGAAAGAAAGAGAAACAUAGCACUUCAGUUUCUGGUUUUCUCGAUGACUAUUUGUGAAAUUUCCCCAAUAUACAAGUAUAUCACGAUAAUUCAACAGCCUUCAGAUCUUCAGUCUUUCUGCUCAUGGUCCUUUGCAUGUUUCUUUCAGUUUAAUCUCGCUGUCUCAUUGUUAAUGGAAACUUGAAACUGUUCCAUUAUAAUGCGUUUUACUACAGAAAUGUACUGUGAUGAUGCUUAUGAAUCUUUCUAUUUUUGGGCUCAUUAUUGACCAUUGAGAUGACCCGACCCGUAUCUUGGCGUGGCACCCGGUAUGGCCAGUGAUUGGAAACAACUCUCUCUCUCUCUCUCUCUCUCUCUCUCUCAUGCAACCGGUGUUGCAGCCAUGUCGUCGCUGUCUUCUCUCUUGCCUUGUCAUUAUAUGCGUCUGAGCCUCAAUUUGCUGAAGAACAUCAGUAGGCGUUUGGACAAAUAUUAAGUUGAAGUUGAGAUAUUCUUUUAAAUGCAGACUUGUGAGGUCUCUUCGGUUAAUAGCUCUCAUCUGAAUGAACUAUGUUUAUUAGAUUAGCCCAGGAAUGGCGAGAAUGAGGCAGCAGAGAGUAUGCGAUGUUUUACAGGGUGGUUGCCCCUCUCUGCUUUGCCUAUGAUCCUCCCUUUUUCAACAAACCAACAACCCGUUAAAAGAAAGAGAGGCAUAUAAUAGCACUUCAGUAUUUCGGUUUCUUUGCAUUUUGCACCCUUUUAAUGUAUACUCUCACGACUAUACAACAACUACACAGCCUUCAGAUCUUUUAAAGAGGCAGUGAUGAUUUUCAAUAUCUGGGUAACUAAUCCGGGAAUGGAGAUAACCCGACCCUUAUCUUGGCGUGGCAACCCGGUAUGGCAUGUGAUUGAGACUCUUCUCUCUCACACACAUGCAACCGGUGUUUUGCAGCCAUGGCGUGGUUGGCCUCUCUUUUGUCUUUGACAUUACAACACAUCUGAGCCUCAAUUUGCUAAAGAAAUUAUUAUCUUUUCCAUAUUGAUAUGGAAAUCCCCCAGACCCCACUUGUUGGUUUGUUGUUGUAUAUUGAUGUGGAAAUAUUAUUACCCACGCCUUUUUGUUAAAAGUUUUAAUGCUUUUAGGUUAUAAAUCCAAUUUUUUUAUCACUACUUUUUGAUAUACUUGUAUACGGGAGUUUUUUCUCCCUUUUGAUUAAUACAAUUUACCUUGUCAAAAAGAAAAAAACCCAAUUUUUUAUCAGUAAUUGGAAUUCACUCUAUGAUCCUCCAUCUAAGCUAAUUCCCUUACCCCAGAAAUGGCAAGAAUGAGGCAACACGGAAUUUCUUUCAAGGGUGGUUGACCCUCUCUGCUUUGUCUAUGAUUCUCCAUGUUUAACAAACCAAUUUAAAAAAGAAAGAAAGAAAGAGAGCACACUUCAGUUUCUGGGUUUCGUUGCGUUUUUGCACCCUUUAUGUGUACGCAAAACCCAAACACACCUCCAGAUCAUCAGUCUGUCUCAUGGCUUUGAAAGCUCGUAAAAGAGGCAGUGAUGAUAAUUUUUUUUGUAUCUGGGCUAUUUAAUUCGGGCAUGGAGAUUACCCGCUCCAUAUCUUGGCGUGGCAACCCUGUAUGGCCUAUGAUUGAGACUCUUCUCACUCGUGUAACUGGUGUUUUGCAGCCAUGGCAUGGCUAGCUUCUGUUUUUCCUUAUCAUAACACAUAUAAGCGCAAAGCUGAUCUAGGAUUUGAACUUUGUGGGUUCGAGUUCAAGAUUUUACAACUCAUUUGAUAUACUGUGUUGAAAAUCAAGUAUUUGUACUUGUUUAGUAAACUUUUUAACACAUGUAGAGGGUUUGAGUCAAAGCUACUGUUCAAAGGAACCCAUGCCUAAACCUCUCUUUCCGCCCUGACUCAGCCUCAACAUGCUUUUUUCCCCCUUCCUGAAAUGGCAUUGGCCAGUUAUUUAAGUUGUUUUCUCUUUCGCAGGCAAAUGAUGUUUUUGCAGCCAUGGCAUGGUUAACUUUUCUUUGCCUGAUCUUUUCUGCAGAUCUGAGCCUCACAUUUUUGUGUCAGCUGCAUUUUCUUAUUCAAAUACACAUAUUGCACCAGAUUUUUUUUUAAUCUUCAGAUGUUGAAUAAAAGAAUAGGCAAUAUAGGUGUCAAAAUGAGUAUAUUUCUUUAGAGAGGUUGUUCGUGUUUAUUUAUUUUUUAAAAAUCUUUUCCAUGUGAUAUAGCUUUAAUUUAAAAGAAUCAAUUUUAGUCCUGCAGAGUUGUAACUGUGUUUUUCUCUGUCUUUGAUGGCCUUUGUGUGUAUCUUCUAUGUUGUUAUUCUGUGUUCCCUUGACUUUUGAGUUCGAACAGCUUUUGCUUGGAGUACACGUAAAUGGGGCUGUGAUGAUACUUCAAGUACCUUCUUUUCUGGGUUAAUCAAUUUGCAUGGAGACGACCAGACCUGUUGGUUUGGCAACUCAAUGUGGUUUGUGUUAAGGUUUCUCUCUCUCAUGCAACCUUUGUUUUGCAGCCAUGAUGUGGGUUAUGAUCUAGCAUGUGGCCUUCAGGUUAUAAAGUUCCAAGAGAAAGCAUUUUGUUGUAGUGUUGCACCAUGCUGGUGUUGAAUUGUCCGUUCGUGUCUGUGUUUUCAAUAAGCAUCAAAACCAUGAGUUUCAAGCAAUCAUGCCUCAAUCUUGAAAACAGACCCGGGUCUCUCUCUGUCUUGAGUACAUAUCUGACCGCAGCUUUCUUCAAUAUUUCUAGUUUUGUUUACCUUUUAGUUUUCAGAACUACAGCUAGUGAAAGAAAAAUUGAAAAAAGUUAAGCAAAAGAUUAAGUCUUUUAAAGUUCAUUUCAAAAGUUUUGGGUAGAAAUACUCCAUUCGUAUCUAAAAGAUGCUAUUUUAUUCUAUAUAGCAAUUACCAGAGAAUGGAAAUGCAGUAUUUUGAGUGUUAUAGCUGGCCCCCUAAAUCCUAAAUAGUAAGACAAAAAGGGGAACACCCAAAACUGACCAAAGUUUUUAUUUUUGUGACACGAAUUGAAAAGGGGAUUUUUGUUCUCCUUUUUGACUUUUGACAUGAAUUUAGUCAUAAUUAAUAUACAGGGGGUUUGCCCUUUUUAUUCAA
This is a non-coding RNA of Nicotiana tabacum (common tobacco), 6253 nucleotides long. NCBI's taxonomy places the organism in Eukaryota, Viridiplantae, Streptophyta, Magnoliopsida, Solanales, Solanaceae. The record is from RefSeq and is a predicted model, not a curated record.